This is a microRNA precursor of Oryza sativa Japonica Group (Japanese rice), 205 nucleotides long. It matches the Rfam family "MIR812 microRNA precursor family". The record is from Rfam. NCBI's taxonomy places the organism in Eukaryota, Viridiplantae, Streptophyta, Magnoliopsida, Poales, Poaceae.
AAUGUAUGACGCCGUUGACUUUUUACCCAACGUUUGACCAUUCGUCUUAUUCAAAAAAUUAUGUAACUAUUAUUUAUUUUAUUGUGACUUGAUUCAUUAUCAAAUAUUCUUUAAGCAUGACAUAAAUAUUUUUAUAUUUGUACAAAAUUUUUUGAAUAAAACGAAUGGUCAAACGUUGGUCGAAAAGUUAACGGUGUCAUACAUU